CUUACAUCACUCGAGAGAUACACAAAUCCCCCAAACUUAUUCUUUUCACUCAAUUAUCUUGGGGUGUGUUCUAAGGUUAGGAGUUUAACAACUAUAAUCCUUACCCUCUCUUAGUUUGGAUAGAUCUUACCCUUACAAGUACACAUAUCAACAAGUAGAGACUCUCUUUAAUUUGAUUGUUUCAACCUUUAAGCUCAAACUAAGCUACUUACCUCGCAUCAAGGUUAAAGUCAUAUCAACCAAAUGUCCAACAAGGGCUUUUUUUUUCAGGUUUUUUUUCUCUCCAUCUUCUCAUUUGCUUUCUAUAUAACCCAUGUAACGAGUUUUAGGCGAUGACUCCCAAACCAGUUGGUCUUAGGGCACCAGGUUUUAAACCCUUGCAGCCUUAUUCACCCGAGUUAUAAAGGCUCGAUAAGAUGAAUUUUUGUCAACUUCUCCUUUUUCUUGCUUUCUAUAUGACCCCUGUAACGAGCUUUAGGCCGAUAAUUCCCAAACCAGUUGGCUUUAGGAUAUCAGGUUUUAA
Molecule: long non-coding RNA, 523 nt
Filed under: Olea europaea (common olive)
Lineage: Eukaryota; Viridiplantae; Streptophyta; Magnoliopsida; Lamiales; Oleaceae
Description: long non-coding RNA (OEUR_LNC014329)
Source: RNAcentral